This 239-nucleotide ribosomal RNA is filed under the name uncultured bacterium. RNAcentral describes it as "partial 16S ribosomal RNA". It matches the Rfam family "Bacterial small subunit ribosomal RNA", at positions 113 to 353 of the family's 1533-position model. The record is from RNAcentral.
AUGUCUGGGAAACUGCCUGAUGAGGGGGAGUAACUACUGGAAACGGUAGCUAAUACCGCAUAACGUCGCAAGACCAAAGAGGGGGACCUUCGGGCCUCUUGCCAUCGGAUGUGCCCAGAUGGGAUUAGCUAGUAGGUGGGGUAACGGCUCACCUAGGCGACGAUCCCUAGCUGGUCUGAGAGGAUGACCAGCCACACUGGAACUGAGACACGGUCCAGACUCCUACGGGAGGCAGCAUG